CCUACGGGGGGCUGCAGUGGGGAAUUUUGCGCAAUGGGCGAAAGCCUGACGCAGCAACGCCGCGUGUGUGAUGAAGGCCUUAGGGUUGUAAAGCACUGUUCAGAGGGAAGAACAAACGGGUUUAAUAGCUCGUCCUGACGGUACCUCUGCAGAAAGCACUGGCUAACUCCGUGCCAGCAGCCGCGGUAAUACGGAGAGUGCAAGCGUUGUUCGGAAUUAUUGGGCGUAAAGGGCGUCUAGGUGGUUCGUUAAGUCAGAUGUGAAAUCCCUCGGCUCAACCGAGGACGUGCAUUUGAAACUAGCGAACUUGAGUACUUGAGAGGGCAGCGGAAUUCCUGGUGUAGAGGUGAAAUUCGUAGAUAUCAGGAGGAACACCAGCGGCGAAGGCGGCUGCCUGGCAAGAGACUGACACUGAAGCGCGAAAGCGUGGGGAGCAAACAGGAUUAGAUACCCGAGUAGUC
This 461-nucleotide ribosomal RNA is filed under the name Pectobacterium carotovorum. RNAcentral's name for it is "bacterial SSU rRNA". It matches the Rfam family "Bacterial small subunit ribosomal RNA", at positions 338 to 795 of the family's 1533-position model. Lineage: Bacteria; Pseudomonadati; Pseudomonadota; Gammaproteobacteria; Enterobacterales; Pectobacteriaceae. The record is from RNAcentral. RNAcentral also lists the same sequence under 1 other name.